AUUGAACGCUGGCGGCAUGCUUUACACAUGCAAGUCGAACGGUAACAGGUUAAGCUGACGAGUGGCGAACGGGUGAGUAAUGCAUCGGAACGUGCCCGGUCGUGGGGGAUAACGCAGCGCAAGCUGCGCUAAUACCGCAUACGAUCUGAGGAUGAAAGCGGGGGACCGUAAGGCCUCGCGCGAUCGGAGCGGCCGAUGUCAGAUUAGGUAGUUGGUGGGGGAAAGGCUCACCAAGCCGACGAUCUGUAGCGUGUCUGAGAGGACGACCAGCCACACUGGGACUGAGACACGGCCAAGACUCCUCCGGGAGGCAGCAGUGGGGAAUUUUGGACAAUGGGCGAAAGCCUGAUCCAGCAAUGCCGCGUGCAGGAAGAAGGCCUUCGGGUUGUAAACUGCUUUUGUACGGAGCGAAAAAGCUCUCUCUAAUACAGGGGGCUCAUGACGGUACCGUAAGAAUAAGCACCGGCUAACUACGUGCCAGCCGCCGCCGUAA
Molecule: ribosomal RNA, 493 nt
Filed under: uncultured bacterium
Lineage: Bacteria
Description: partial 16S ribosomal RNA
Rfam family: Bacterial small subunit ribosomal RNA
Source: RNAcentral